Molecule: long non-coding RNA, 2894 nt
Organism: Anarrhichthys ocellatus (wolf-eel)
Lineage: Eukaryota; Metazoa; Chordata; Actinopteri; Perciformes; Anarhichadidae
Exons: 3
Source: RefSeq, a predicted model, not a curated record
ACCAACUGGUUAAAGAGAGAGACCAACUGGUUCAAACGAAAGACCAACUGGCUGAAGAGAGAGACCAACUGGUUCAAACGAAAGACCAACUGGUUGAAGAGAGAGACCAACUGGUUGUCUAUAGCGACCAACUAGCAAUUGACAACGGCUUUAAAAACGAGAAGCUCAUCAAACAACAAAAUCAGAUAAAGGAACUUGAAAUGUGUGAGUUAGUUUUCUUUUUUGAAACCUGUAUUAAUUCAUAUAUUUUUAGGGUUGGCAAUGUCAUUCAGUCAGUCCACCACUUUGGUCCAGACUAAAAUAUAUCGAUAUAUACUGAAUGGAUUGCCAUGACAUUUUCAUCAGGCAUUCAUGGUCUACAGGGGAAGAACCCCUCUGACUUUGGUGGUCCCCUGACUUUUCCUGUAACGCAACCAGCAAAGAUUUCUCUUAUCCUGUAAAAUAUCUCAACAACUACCUGAAGGAUUGGCACCACAUUUUGUCCAGACAUGUCAUGGUUCCCAGACAAAGACUUUUUGUGAUCCCCUGACUUUUCAUCAUUGUGUCUUGUUUCUCUUCUAUCUUUUCAUCUCCUCUCCUGUCCUGUCCCGUUUUCUGUUAUGUCCUGUCUUGUCGUACCCUGAUCAGUUCUGUCCUGACUUGUUCUGUUUUGCUGUGACCACAUCUUGAACUGUCUUUACUCUUACCGUUCUGCCCUGUGUUGUCCUCUACUCUCCUGUGUUGUACUUUUGUUUCUUGUUUUCUGUCCCAUCUUGUCCAACCUUGACUUGCCCGUUCCGGCCCCAUCUUGCCCUGAUAUGUCCUGUCCUGUGCUUGUUUCUGAGCAGACCAACAACCCAAAAGUUGUCCCCCAGGAUGGCAUACAUACAUGUCCACCUGUUACCAGCUUUCCUCUACGACAGGCACCUGGGACAAUGCCGUAGAUGACUGUGAAAGCAAGGGAUCCCACUUGGUGAUCUUGAAUGAUGAAAGGGAAGAGGAAAAUGUCCGUAUAUUUGGAUGUUCUGUCAAAAUGUGGAUUGGCUUGGCUGGUCAGAGGUCAUCCAACUCGUGGACGUUUUCAUUGGUAGAUGGACGCCCACCGUCUUAUACUAACUGGAACAAUAGGAACCCAGCGUAUUGGAGCCAUUCCCUUUACAGAUGUGCCUAUGUUGCCAAAGGCUCAUCUACCUGGAAGACCUGGUUCCUGGGCGCCUGUUACCAACUAAACUAUUGGAUGUGUGAGAUGAGACUGCACACCAACUCUGCCUUGCCUCGAUAAGACUCACACAACACCGCAGGGAGGUUCAGAAUAGUUGUCUUACUAAUUAUGAUUGGAGCAAAGGAGUAAGUCAGGUGACGUUGUAUAAAGAGUGAUAACGUCGCAUACGGAGGAGGUUGGGGUGGAUUUAUGGGUCACACAAAAACAGGACUUUCACCCAGAAGACCACUGUUCUGUGUGAAGCAAUUCAAAUGUUAAUGGCAACAACCAUUUAAAGGUACAGCGUGUAGCAUUCAGGGGGAUCGAUUAGCAGAAAUGGAAUAUAAUAUUAUUUAGUAAGUUUUCUUUAGUUUAUAAUGACCUGAAAAUAAGAAUCCUUGUGUUUUUGUUACCUUAAAAUGAGACAUACGGAGUGGGUCCUCUUCACUGAGCCGGCCGCCAUGUUUCUACAGUAGCCCAGAACGAACAAACCAAACACCGGCUCUGGAUAGGGCCGUUUGAGUUUCCGUGUUUUCAUGUCGUCCACUGUAGUUCCCCUACAGCAGGGGUGUCAAACUCAAUCACAGAUAAAAUUAAAUAUUGGGACUACGUUGAGGGCCAAAUAGGGUCAAAAUUUAAUAAAUAGGACAUAAUGGAUAUUGGAGAAAACAAAUAGGCUACAUUCUGUACCAGAGAUGUUUGGCUUUUUUUUGGCUGCCAGUUCAUUAAUGUGUGGGAAGGCAGGUAACAGGCAGCCUGCCAUUAGGACCCCGGCAACAGGGGGCAGAGUCUAUAAAAAGGGGGAGGGGGGUUCACCUGGGCCUUUCCUCCUGAACCCAGACACACCUGAGGGAGCAGCUGAGGCCAGCUACCUGUUUGGUGGGCUCUCGUUCUUUCCUUUUAUAAAUGUGUUUAAAAGCAUGAUUUUAAGCGUGAAAUUGGAGAAACAAUGUGAGAUGUUUGUGAGAUAAUGGUUAAACAUGUGUUAUCUGCUAGAUUGAUGUUUGGUGAGGGACUAAAACUUGGAGUGAUUGCUUCGGCACAUCAGCCAAGAAGAAAGGUGCGCUGAAGCAGAACUAACAUGUUUUUACACAGGUUUAGUCCCCUUAACACAAUAUGAACAUGGUUGUUAUGAAUGUAGAUUCUAGUCACCGGCAUGUCUUCAACUGGGAGAGGGGACGGUGUCCAGUCUAGAAAGGUAGAUUAUUUACGUUGCAUGUUUGAUCAAAUGUUUGUGUGACGGUUCCCUUUUGUUUAAUGUAUUGUUUCUUUUUAGUUUUAAAUAAAGACACUCGAGCAGCCAACCAUUGUUUUUCCCAUACUUAUUAGAUUUAGUGUGCCUUUUAAACAAAUCUAUUGAAUGGGCCAUUUUCUGUUUAUUUUCUUUGUGCUGUGCUGAAGGGGACCAAGUGGUAGAGUUGGCAUCUUACAUGCAGAUCUGAUUGUGUGGGUUGAGUCACCUUAGCGUGCAGUGGUUUAGUUAUAAUUUGCCUACAUGUUUUGUGACAAAUUCCUUUAUUUCCACCUAACUCUACACUGACCUCCCUGAUGGUGUUUGUUUCUUUUCUUGUUCAUUUGUUUUGAUUUAUGAAUUGAUUUUAAAGCCGAGUCUUUUAAUUAAGCCGUGCAUUGUUAAUAAAAUCUAUAUUUUCAGUAUCGCAGUCUCUAGUUCCAGUUUAUUCAGGGUCUUGUGCAUUAAGUAUCACCGGGUCAC